CAGAAAGAUAAACCAAACUACUUUCUUUCUUUGUUUAUGUAACUUUUUUUUUAGGGUUAACAUCCUUCUGAAGAAGGACUAUGAAUCUGUGAAUCCUAUGAAUUGAGAUUUACAGAGAUUUUUUUUUGGGUUAUCAUCAAAUUAAACUUCUGCAAGAUCAACAGGCGAGCAUUCUUAACUUUGUAACCUGAAUCCUAAGGAGUCAAACUCGACUUCAGGGCACCUCCAACUACUUUGAGGAUGAUAAGUAGGAAUUCCAACUUCAAAUGAUGGACAGAUGGAGAGUUAAGAGGAUGAUGUGAAUCGUCCUAAAGAACUUUUGAAAUCAAUCGAUUGUUCUCAGUACAGCUGAACUUAUUCUUGAAAUGUUGAUGAAUGUAAUCAAAGUAGUUAGUGAGGGAAAUAUUACACAGGUUUGUCAUGAAUGAAUCUAAUUACAAAUGUGCUUUCCAAUUGAAUAUGGAAAAUAUGGAACAUAUGAAUAUAUUUUUCCAAUUGUAUCCGAUUUACCCUCAUCAAUUCCCACUAUAUUUGUC
Papaver somniferum (opium poppy) is the source of this 536-nucleotide long non-coding RNA. RefSeq lists it as uncharacterized. NCBI's taxonomy places the organism in Eukaryota, Viridiplantae, Streptophyta, Magnoliopsida, Ranunculales, Papaveraceae. The transcript has 3 exons. The record is from RefSeq and is a predicted model, not a curated record.